CCUACGGGAGGCAGCAGUGAGGAAUAUUGGUCAAUGGACGCAAGUCUGAACCAGCCAUGCCGCGUGCAGGAAGUCGACUCUAUGAGUUGUAAACUGCUUUUGUACGAGGGUAAACGCAGAUACGCGUAUCUGUCUGAAAGUAUCGUACGAAUAAGGAACGGGUAACUCCGUGACAACCGCCGCGGGCAUACGGAGGAUUCAAAGGUUUUCCGGAUUUAUUGGGUUUAAAGGGUGCGUAGGCGGUCGUAUAAGGUAGAGGGGAAAUCACGAGGCGCCACUUCGGACUUGCCUCUGAUACUGUUCGUCUAGAGAGUAGUUGCGGUAGGCGGAAUGUAUGGUGUAGCGGUGAAAUGCUUAGAGAUCAUACAGAACACCGAUUGCGAAGGCAGCUUACCAAGCUACUUCUGACGUUGAGGCACGAAAGCGUGGGGAGCAAACAGGAUUAGAUACCCUGGUAGUC
RNAcentral lists this ribosomal RNA (460 nucleotides) under uncultured bacterium. RNAcentral's name for it is "partial 16S ribosomal RNA". It matches the Rfam family "Bacterial small subunit ribosomal RNA", at positions 338 to 795 of the family's 1533-position model. The record is from RNAcentral.